RNAcentral lists this unclassified non-coding RNA (324 nucleotides) under plant metagenome. RNAcentral describes it as "partial contains small subunit ribosomal RNA, internal transcribed spacer 1, and 5.8S ribosomal RNA". The record is from RNAcentral.
GAUCCGUAGGUGAACCUGCGGAUGGAUCAUUAACACAAUCCAAAAACACUUGGAGAGUGAAGGAGUCACAUCUUUUGUGAAUCUUUUCUCUUCAUUUUAAAACCCAAACUAGCGAACUUGUCAACGGCGAGUAAGAUUUCAAAUCUUACUCUACCCGUUCGUUUUUUUCUCUAUAUCAAUUUUUUAUUUUGAAAUCACUUCCUUCUUCUUUUCGAAAGGAAAGAAUGAGGAAUGCAACUAAACAAUUUGACUGAGAAAACGUCUUAGGACGCUAAAUGUUGUAAACAAAAAAUACAACUCUUAACAACGGAUAUCUUGGCUCUC